UAACAGCUUUUGGGAACUCCAAUGCAAG
RNAcentral lists this non-coding RNA (28 nucleotides) under Bombyx mori (domestic silkworm). The record is from RNAcentral. Lineage: Eukaryota; Metazoa; Arthropoda; Insecta; Lepidoptera; Bombycidae.